CGAAACGACUCUCGGCAACGGAUAUCUCGGCUCUUGCAUCGAUGAAGAACGUAGCGAAAUGCGAUACGUGGUGUGAAUUGCAGAAUCCCGUGAACCAUCGAGUUUUUGAACGCAAGUUGCGCCCAAAGCCUUUUGGUUGAGGGCACGUCUGCCUGGG
RNAcentral lists this ribosomal RNA (157 nucleotides) under Pentadesma butyracea. Its description in RNAcentral is "5.8S ribosomal RNA". It matches the Rfam family "5.8S ribosomal RNA". From Rfam's summary of the family: 5.8S ribosomal RNA (5.8S rRNA) is a component of the large subunit of the eukaryotic ribosome. It is transcribed by RNA polymerase I as part of the 45S precursor that also contains 18S and 28S rRNA. RNAcentral also lists the same sequence under 1 other name. Lineage: Eukaryota; Viridiplantae; Streptophyta; Magnoliopsida; Malpighiales; Clusiaceae. The record is from RNAcentral.